Molecule: ribosomal RNA, 895 nt
Filed under: Escherichia coli
Lineage: Bacteria; Pseudomonadati; Pseudomonadota; Gammaproteobacteria; Enterobacterales; Enterobacteriaceae
Description: partial 23S ribosomal RNA
Rfam family: Bacterial large subunit ribosomal RNA
Source: RNAcentral
UCGCUGUGAAGAUGCAGUGUACCCGCGGCAAGACGGAAAGACCCCGUGAACCUUUACUAUAGCUUGACACUGAACAUUGAGCCUUGAUGUGUAGGAUAGGUGGGAGGCUUUGAAGUGUGGACGCCAGUCUGCAUGGAGCCGACCUUGAAAUACCACCCUUUAAUGUUUGAUGUUCUAACGUGGACCCGUGAUCCGGGUUGCGGACAGUGUCUGGUGGGUAGUUUGACUGGGGCGGUCUCCUCCUAAAGAGUAACGGAGGAGCACGAAGGUUGGCUAAUCCUGGUCGGACAUCAGGAGGUUAGUGCAAUGGCAUAAGCCAGCUUGACUGCGAGCGUGACGGCGCGAGCAGGUGCGAAAGCAGGUCAUAGUGAUCCGGUGGUUCUGAAUGGAAGGGCCAUCGCUCAACGGAUAAAAGGUACUCCGGGGAUAACAGGCUGAUACCGCCCAAGAGUUCAUAUCGACGGCGGUGUUUGGCACCUCGAUGUCGGCUCAUCACAUCCUGGGGCUGAAGUAGGUCCCAAGGGUAUGGCUGUUCGCCAUUUAAAGUGGUACGCGAGCUGGGUUUAGAACGUCGUGAGACAGUUCGGUCCCUAUCUGCCGUGGGCGCUGGAGAACUGAGGGGGGCUGCUCCUAGUACGAGAGGACCGGAGUGGACGCAUCACUGGUGUUCGGGUUGUCAUGCCAAUGGCACUGCCCGGUAGCUAAAUGCGGAAGAGAUAAGUGCUGAAAGCAUCUAAGCACGAAACUUGCCCCGAGAUGAGUUCUCCCUGAGACUUUAAGUCUCCUGAAGGAACGUUGAAGACGACGACGUUGAUAGGCCGGGUGUGUAAGCGCAGCGAUGCGUUGAGCUAACCGGUACUAAUGAACCGUGAGGCUUAACCUUACAACGCCGAAG